RNAcentral lists this ribosomal RNA (404 nucleotides) under uncultured beta proteobacterium. RNAcentral's name for it is "bacterial SSU rRNA". It matches the Rfam family "Bacterial small subunit ribosomal RNA", at positions 226 to 622 of the family's 1533-position model. The record is from RNAcentral. Lineage: Bacteria; Pseudomonadati; Pseudomonadota; Betaproteobacteria.
GCGGCCGAUGUCUGAUUAGCUAGUUGGUGAGGUAAAGGCUUACCAAGGCUUCGAUCAGUAGCUGGUCUGAGAGGACGACCAGCCACACUGGGACUGAGACACGGCCCAGACUCCUACGGGAGGCAGCAGUGGGGAAUUUUGGACAAUGGGGGAAACCCUGAUCCAGCCAUGCCGCGUGAGUGAAGAAGGCCUUCGGGUUGUAAAGCUCUUUCAGCCGGAACGAAACGGUCACGGCUAAUACCCGUGAUCACUGACGGUACCGGAAGAAGAAGCACCGGCUAACUACGUGCCAGCAGCCGCGGUAAUACGUAGGGUGCGAGCGUUAAUCGGAAUUACUGGGCGUAAAGCGUGCGCAGGCGGUUUUGUAAGUCAGAUGUGAAAUCCCCGGGCUCAACCUGGGAACU